GAGGUGGCGCCGUGGAGCCGCGCAGGGUGUAGGACGACUUUGAAGGGGCCGCGGCCGCCAGGCUCCGUGGGUUUUGGUUCAGGCGCCGGUGUGCCCAAGGAUGUUGUAGAACUCUGUCUAGCCACAGCGUGGGGAUGGGGAGCUCCCGCCGACAGACUCUGUUGCUUUCUGGCUUGGCCGCUGGUUGUCCCUUGCCCCUGGAAGGUCACCAUAUUGAUGUCAAACUCAGCAUGGAUGCCCAAUUGGCAGAGUGCACUAGAGCCCAGAACUCAUGGACUCAAGUCAGCCUCCCAAGUCCCUAGGACUACAG
This is a long non-coding RNA of Nomascus leucogenys (northern white-cheeked gibbon), 310 nucleotides long. RefSeq lists it as uncharacterized. NCBI's taxonomy places the organism in Eukaryota, Metazoa, Chordata, Mammalia, Primates, Hylobatidae. The record is from RefSeq and is a predicted model, not a curated record. The transcript is spliced from 3 exons.